Long non-coding RNA from Melitaea cinxia (Glanville fritillary), 386 nucleotides. RefSeq lists it as uncharacterized. The record is from RefSeq and is a predicted model, not a curated record. Lineage: Eukaryota; Metazoa; Arthropoda; Insecta; Lepidoptera; Nymphalidae. The transcript is spliced from 3 exons.
AUAGCCCGCCUGUCCCUAAAAACUUGUACAUAAUUGUAGUUCAUUUUCAGCCACCAGUCUGCGCUGCUGACGGUAAGUUGCCUCUGUGAAGUUAGCUGUUUAUGUCAUGUGCUUAUGAGUACAAGUAAAUGAAAAACAUUAAAAAAUGGUGAAACAUUGUAUUGUGCGUGGAUGUAAAAGAGAUUUAGCAUCUGAUCGCUAAAAUAGAAUGAAUUACUGAAAAACAAUUUGCGUCAAUCAUCUUUAUUCAAAGUACCAAACUACCAAAGAAUAACGUAUUGAGGGAAAAUGGGUAAAAGCUUUAUCACAACAAUUGACUCCAAAUCAGUUUGUGUGUGAGAAGCACUUUCGCGAAGAAGAUAUUAAGAAAAUUGAUCGAUUGAUUA